GAUGAACGCUAGCGGCAGGCUUAAUACAUGCAAGUCGAGGGGCAGCAAGAUACUUCGGUAUUGUUGGCGACCGGCGCACGGGUGCGUAACACGUAUGCAAUCUACCCUAUACAGGGGAAUAGGUCCAAGAAAUUGGAAUUAAUACCCCAUAGUAUCUUUUUUUCGCAUGAUGAAAAGAUUAAAGCUCCGGCGGUAUAGGAUGAGCAUGCGCCCUAUUAGCUUGUUGGUGAGGUAACGGCUCACCAAGGCGAUGAUAGGUAGGGGUUUUGAGAGGAAGAUCCCCCACACUGGCACUGAGACACGGGCCAGACUCCUACGGGAGGCAGCAGUAGGGAAUAUUGGUCAAUGGGCGCAAGCCUGAACCAGCCAUGCCGCGUGCAGGAUGAAGAUCAUUUGAUUGUAAACUGCUUUUAUAUAGGAGUAAAGAAUUCCUGCGGGAAUUUUUGAUAGUACUGUAUGAAUAAGCACCGGCUAACUCCG
This 480-nucleotide ribosomal RNA is filed under the name uncultured Cytophagales bacterium. RNAcentral's name for it is "bacterial SSU rRNA". It matches the Rfam family "Bacterial small subunit ribosomal RNA", at positions 28 to 505 of the family's 1533-position model. The record is from RNAcentral. Lineage: Bacteria; Pseudomonadati; Bacteroidota; Sphingobacteriia; Sphingobacteriales.